UACGAAGGGGGCUAGCGUUGUUCGGAAUUACUGGGCGUAAAGCGCACGUAGGCGGAUUGUUAAGUCAGGGGUGAAAUCCCGAGGCUCAACCUCGGAACUGCCCUUGAUACUGGCCAUCUCGAGUCCGGAAGAGGUUAGUGGAAUUCCCAGUGUAGAGGUGAAAUUCGUAGAUAUUGGGAAGAACACCGGUGGCGAAGGCGGCUAACUGGUCCGGAACUGACGCUGAGGUGCGAAAGCGUGGGGAGCAAACAGG
This 253-nucleotide ribosomal RNA is filed under the name uncultured bacterium. RNAcentral describes it as "partial 16S ribosomal RNA". It matches the Rfam family "Bacterial small subunit ribosomal RNA", at positions 524 to 776 of the family's 1533-position model. The record is from RNAcentral.